ACUAGGGUAUAGCCCAGAGAAAUUUGGAUUAAUCCCCUAUAAUAUCAAAAUUCCGCAUGGUUUUUUGAUUAAAGCUUCGGUGGUAAAAGAUGAGCAUGCGUCCUAUUAGUUUGUAGGUGAGGUAACGGCUCACCUAGACUACGAUAGGUAGGGGCCCUGAGAGGGGGAUCCCCCACACUGGUACUGAGACACGACCAGACUCCUACGGGAGGCAGCAGUGAGGAAUAUUGGACAAUGGACGAAAGUCUGAUCCAGCUAUGCCGCGUGCAGGAUGACAGCCCUACGGGUUGUAAACUGCUUUUAUACAGGAAGAAAAAUCCCGACGUGUCGGGGCUUGACGGUACUGUAAGAAUAAGG
This 357-nucleotide ribosomal RNA is filed under the name uncultured Bacteroidota bacterium. Its description in RNAcentral is "bacterial SSU rRNA". It matches the Rfam family "Bacterial small subunit ribosomal RNA", at positions 135 to 491 of the family's 1533-position model. Lineage: Bacteria; Pseudomonadati; Bacteroidota. The record is from RNAcentral.